RNAcentral lists this ribosomal RNA (530 nucleotides) under Plebeia droryana. Its description in RNAcentral is "partial 16S ribosomal RNA". The stretch from base 378 to 530 matches the Rfam family "Bacterial large subunit ribosomal RNA", at positions 2473 to 2626 of the family's 2925-position model. The record is from RNAcentral. Lineage: Eukaryota; Metazoa; Arthropoda; Insecta; Hymenoptera; Apidae.
GUCUUAUUGAAAAUAAUUUUAAGUCAAUCUGCCCAUGAAUAAUUUAUUUUAAUGGCUGCAGUAUAACUAACUGUACAAAGGUAGCAUAAUCAAUUGAUUUUUAAAUGAAAUCUGGAAUGAAAGGAUUAAUGAAAUAUAUACUGUCUCAUAUUUAUUUUAUGAAUUUAAAAUUUUAAUAAAAAUGUUAAAAUUUAUUUAUGGGACGAUAAGACCCUAUAGAAUUUUAUAUUAAAUUAAUUUUAUAAUUAAAUAUAAAAUUUAAUUUAAUAUUUAAUUGGGAGAAUUAUUAAAUUUAAUAAAUUUUAAUUAAUAAAAACUUUAAUUAAAGAAAAUUUAUUGAUUUUUAAUUUAAAAUUAAUAGAUUAAAUUACCUUAGGGAUAACAGCGUAAUAUUUUUUUAUAGAUCUUAUAGAAAAAAAUGAUUGCGACCUCGAUGUUGAAUUAAGAUAAAUUUUAAAUGUAGAAGUUUAAUAAUUAAGUCUGUUCGACUUUUAAAAUCUUACAUGAUUUGAGUUCAAAUCGACGUAAGU